This 253-nucleotide ribosomal RNA is filed under the name uncultured bacterium. RNAcentral describes it as "partial 16S ribosomal RNA". It matches the Rfam family "Bacterial small subunit ribosomal RNA", at positions 524 to 776 of the family's 1533-position model. The record is from RNAcentral.
UACGUAGGCAGCGAGCGUUGUUCGGAAUUACUGGGCGUAAAGAGUGCGUAGGCGGUGCUCUAAGUCUGUUGUGAAAUCUCCCGGCUCAACUGGGAGGGUGCGGCGGAAACUGGAGUGCUAGAGUAUGGGAGAGGUAAGCGGAAUUCCUGGUGUAGCGGUGAAAUGCGUAGAUAUCAGGAGGAACACCUGUGGUGUAGACAGCUUACUGGACCAUGACUGACGCUGAGGCACGAAAGCGUGGGUAGCAAACAGG